AACAAGGUUUCCGUAGGUGAACCUGCGGAAGGUCAUUAUCGAAUAUAAACUUGGAUGGACUGUUGCUGGCUUUUCUUUGAGGGGCAUGUGCACGUUUAUCCUCUUUAUUUUUCCACCUGUGCACCUUUUGUAGGCUUGGAUUAUCAGUGGUUCUAACGUGUCUUUUCAAAGGCAUAAGAAUUGUUUUGGGACUGCUGUGUUUAAACGCAUGUUUAUCGGCUUUCCCUUUUAUUUUCCAAGUCUAUGUUUUGCUAUAUACACUCCAGAAAUGUAAUAGAAUGCUGUACUUUAGGUCAUUUUGUACCUAUAAUAAAAUCAGUACAACUUUCAGCAACGGAUCUCUUGGCUCUCGCAUCGAUGAAGAACGCAGCGAAAUGCGAUAAGUAAUGUGAAUUGCAGAAUUCAGUGAAUCAUCGAAUCUUUGAACGCAUCUUGCGCUCCCUGGUAUUCCAAGGAGCAUGCCUGUUUGAGUAUCAUUAAAUUAUCAACUGUGCCACUUUGGGUACAGAUUGGAUGUGGGAGAUUUCUUGCAGGCUUUUGACUUCUCUUUGAGAGAAAAAACAUAAGUCGGCUCUCCUGAAAUGUAUUAGCAGUGCCUUUGUUGGUUCAUUAGGUGUGAUAAUCUAUCUACUUUACAUGGUACCUUCAUCUGUAAAGG
Molecule: ribosomal RNA, 658 nt
Filed under: Inocybe dulcamara
Lineage: Eukaryota; Fungi; Basidiomycota; Agaricomycetes; Agaricales; Inocybaceae
Description: eukaryotic LSU rRNA
Rfam family: 5.8S ribosomal RNA (bases 323-476)
Source: RNAcentral